RNAcentral lists this ribosomal RNA (1394 nucleotides) under uncultured bacterium. RNAcentral's name for it is "16S ribosomal RNA". It matches the Rfam family "Bacterial small subunit ribosomal RNA". The record is from RNAcentral.
AGAGGAGCCUGCUCUUCUUGGAUGAGUUGCGAACGGUGAGUAACGCGUAGGUAACCUGCCUUGUAGCGGGGGAUAACUAUUGGAAACGAUAGCUAAUACCGCAUAACAAUGGAUGACACAUGUCAUUUAUUUGAAAGGGGCAAUUGCUCCACUACAAGAUGGACCUGCGUUGUAUUAGCUAGUAGGUGAGGUAAUGGCUCACCUAGGCGACGAUACAUAGCCGACCUGAGAGGGUGAUCGGCCACACUGGGACUGAGACACGGCCCAGACUCCUACGGGAGGCAGCAGUAGGGAAUCUUCGGCAAUGGGGGCAACCCUGACCGAGCAACGCCGCGUGAGUGAAGAAGGUUUUCGGAUCGUAAAGCUCUGUUGUAAGUCAAGAACGGGUGUGAGAGUGGAAAGUUCACACUGUGACGGUAGCUUACCAGAAAGGGACGGCUAACUACGUGCCAGCAGCCGCGGUAAUACGUAGGUCCCGAGCGUUGUCCGGAUUUAUUGGGCGUAAAGCGAGCGCAGGCGGUUUGAUAAGUCUGAAGUUAAAGGCUGUGGCUCAACCAUGGUUCGCUUUGGAAACUGUCAAACUUGAGUGCAGAAGGGGAGAGUGGAAUUCCAUGUGUAGCGGUGAAAUGCGGUAGAUAUAUGGAGGAACACCGGUGGCGAAAGCGGCUCUCUGGUCUGUAACUGACGCUGAGGCUCGAAAGCGUGGGGAGCGAACAGGAUUAGAUACCCUGGUAGUCCCCGCCGUAAACGAUGAGUGCUAGGUGUUGGAUCCUUUUCCGGAUUUCAGUGCCGCAGCUAACGCAUUAAGCACUCCGCCUGGGGAGUACGACCGCAAGGUUGAAACUCAAAGGAAUUGACGGGGGCCCGCACAAGCGGUGGAGCAUGUGGUUUAAUUCGAAGCAACGCGAAGAACCUUACCAGGUCUUGACAUCCCGAUGCUAUUUCUAGAGAUAGAAAGUUACUUCGGUACAUCGGUGACAGGUGGUGCAUGGUUGUCGUCAGCUCGUGUCGUGAGAUGUUGGGUUAAGUCCCGCAACGAGCGCAACCCCUAUUGUUAGUUGCCAUCAUUCAGUUGGGCACUCUAGCGAGACUGCCGGUAAUAAACCGGAGGAAGGUGGGGAUGACGUCAAAUCAUCAUGCCCCUUAUGACCUGGGCUACACACGUGCUACAAUGGUUGGUACAACGAGUUGCGAGUCGGUGACGGCGAGCUAAUCUCUUAAAGCCAAUCUCAGUUCGGAUUGUAGGCUGCAACUCGCCUACAUGAAGUCGGAAUCGCUAGUAAUCGCGGAUCAGCACGCCGCGGUGAAUACGUUCCCGGGCCUUGUACACACCGCCCGUCACACCACGAGAGUUUGUAACACCCGAAGUCGGUGAGGUAACCUUUUGGAGCCAG